AUUGAACGCUGGCGGCGUGCCUAACACAUGCAAGUCGAGCGGUAACAGGUGUAGCAAUACAUGCUGACGAGCGGCGGACGGGUGAGUAACGCUUGGGAAUCUGCCUAUUAGUGGGGGACAACCCGGGGAAACUCGGGCUAAUACCGCAUACGCUCUACGGAGGAAAGCCGGGGACCGCAAGGCCUGGCGCUAAUAGAUGAGCCCAAGUCGGAUUAGCUAGUUGGUAGGGUAAGGCCUACCAAGGCGACGAUCCGUAACUGGUCUGAGAGGACGACCAGUCACACCGGAACUGAGACACGGUCCGGACUCCUACGGGAGGCAGCAGUGGGGAAUAUUGCGCAAUGGGCGAAAGCCUGACGCAGCGACGCCGCGUGAGGGAUGACGGCCU
This 388-nucleotide ribosomal RNA is filed under the name uncultured bacterium. Its description in RNAcentral is "bacterial SSU rRNA". It matches the Rfam family "Bacterial small subunit ribosomal RNA", at positions 29 to 417 of the family's 1533-position model. The record is from RNAcentral.